RNAcentral lists this long non-coding RNA (845 nucleotides) under Homo sapiens (human). RNAcentral describes it as "HSALNT0373876". Lineage: Eukaryota; Metazoa; Chordata; Mammalia; Primates; Hominidae. The record is from RNAcentral.
UCCUAAGAUAGUAAUGCUUGCAGAGGCACUGCAGCAGGCAAAGAAGAUAAACCCCUAUCUGAGGGCAAAGCCAAGAAGUGAUUUUCCCCCCUCCCUGCCACGGGAACUGUGACCUAAUUCUCAUUCCUAAUCACAGAAUCAAAGGAGAAAUUUAUUUCAAUGAGCUAGUCUGAAAGAGCUAUUUGCCAAAUGGCUUUCUUUCCAAUACUUAAUGAAAAGAUGCAUUUUGUACUACUUUCAAAAAGUGAUAUGGACAGGAGACGGAAAUACUGGGUAGAAAAGGGCAGUUCCCUGGCAAAGCCUCACCCUCAAGCCUGGAUACCUGCUGUCUUAAACGAAAACGAAAACAGGCAUUUCUGUGUUCAUGCUCCAAAAGUUAUCUUUUGGCCUGCCACACCCCCUAUCCUGCACCCAUAUGAAUCCCGAACCCCAGACUCCAGAAGCAGACCAGCAAGCCCGCAGACCAGCAGAAGGAUGGCAGAACGAUGUGGCAGAGAAAGGGAGAAGAGGAGGAACAUCUGAAUGCCAAAAUGAGUUCAGCUGGGGGCAGUCAGAGAGGAGUCCAGCCACUGGGCAGCCAGAAUCCAGGGGAGGAUCACCUUUCCACUUCAUCCCCUUCCUCUGCCUCCCCAUCCAUCCUGCUGAAAGCCACCUCCACCACUCAAUAAAACCUGCCAUUCAUCCUUGGAGUCCAUGUGUGACCUGAUUUUUCCAAGACACUGGACAAGAGCUCAGAUACAGAAAGCUAUCACCUUGGCCCUCUGCCCUUGUGAAAAGGCAGAGAGUUCAUUGAGCUGAUUAACACUCAAGCCAUCUGCAGACGGCAAAGCUGAAAGAGCAUUGUG